UUGUGCCCAGAGUUUGAUUUUCCACAGACCAGGUAGAGGCCAAGAGCCUCUCACAGACUCUGCAGCAGGGUUGCUAUGAUUAACUCUUAAGUACUCCACAACUACACGCUUUUGAAACUGGCGUUGGCAUAGCGUUAGUUCUGUGCAGGGCGGACGCAGCAGGACAGAAUCUCCCUGGGCAUCUUUUCGGAGCAUCAAUUUUACUGCAAAAUUUUGAAAAAACAAAUUUAAUUGAUUUCCAAGGUUUGUCAAGGAGGACAGAAACUCAGAGCACCCUGCACUUGGGGAUCGGCACUAGGAGCUGCUCUCUGGAUGGGGAGAUGGGAGCUAGCAGCUCACAAUGGGGUCACAAGACAUCUGAAAAUACUCAGAAGUUACAAGAAUUCAUAAAAUACCCACCAAAGCUAAUAGAAAACAUGGAACCUUCCAGGACAAGAAGUAAAUUAAAAGAACAACCCAGAGGAGUAAUCAAAGUGAGAAGCCAGUGCCGCCUCCAGGUACUGGAUGAUCACAGGGACCUCAGGCUUUGGGGAUUAUUCAACUACCUUCUUGG
This 553-nucleotide long non-coding RNA is filed under the name Homo sapiens (human). RNAcentral's name for it is "HSALNT0341106". Lineage: Eukaryota; Metazoa; Chordata; Mammalia; Primates; Hominidae. The record is from RNAcentral.